AAUAUAAUUUUUUUUAUUAUAAUCUCCUUUGUUUUUUCUUAUUUUUUUAUUAGCUACCCUUCCUCGUUCCAUUCAAAUACAGCCCAAGUUGGGGAUUAGCGACAUCACAACCCUCUUCAUCCCCUCCUCCCCCUCUUCGUCCCCUCCUCCCCCUACCAAAUCUUCUGCCUCUUCUAAUGCAAGUGCUUGGAUUAAAUCUUCCACAACUUUUUGUUGAAGUGCUCUGGUGACAUAUUUAUCUUCUCGUCCAUCUAGACCUUCAUCUUCCCUUUCCAAAUUUUCCGCAUAAUCUCCUAAAGCCUUCCAUGCAAUGUCACCACCCUCAGCUUCUACUCCCCCAUCUGCAAGUGGGUCCCCUCUAGUUUGUCUCUAACGAUUCCACCGCCAUUGUUUUCUACUCCGACUACAAACCCAGUGACCACUUCAACUUCGAUUUCAGUCGCUAACUCACCAGUGUAGAAGCCUUCGGCUACUACAGUGACCUAGGCAUUAGUGAGUAUCCAAUUUGACAACACUAGUAGAGGCCCUAAUGGUUUUUCCCUCUAUUAGUAGCAUACCGAACUCCAGUCCAGUGAGUUUGUCACCAAAAACUACAAAAAGUCAGAUGAAUGAUGAAUCGAGUUUUAAGUCCAUAAAUGAGAUUCGAGUUGUUUUUAGCAGGUUAUUGCGUAUUAUGGCUUCCUCCACUGCCACGCCACCACUACUUCCCACUAUCAUGGGCUUAUCUGGGUUUGUUGUGAACAUGUUCUUUCCUUGUAAAUCGGAAUGCUCAUUAGAUUUAGAUUUUUUUGAGAUUUAGCUAGAAUGUGAUUAUAAUUUUGUUUUGUGAAAUGUAACUUUUGUAUUGCACUGAUUUAUGAUUUUGCAAUUUG
RNAcentral lists this unclassified non-coding RNA (872 nucleotides) under Hevea brasiliensis (rubber tree). The record is from RNAcentral. Lineage: Eukaryota; Viridiplantae; Streptophyta; Magnoliopsida; Malpighiales; Euphorbiaceae.